Molecule: ribosomal RNA, 259 nt
Filed under: uncultured Staphylococcus sp.
Lineage: Bacteria; Bacillati; Bacillota; Bacilli; Caryophanales; Staphylococcaceae
Description: partial 16S ribosomal RNA
Rfam family: Bacterial small subunit ribosomal RNA
Source: RNAcentral
CGGGUGAGUAACACGUGGAUAACCUACCUAUAAGACUGGGAUAACUUCGGGAAACCGGAGCUAAUACCGGAUAAUAUAUUGAACCGCAUGGUUCAAUAGUGAAAGACGGCUUUGCUGUCACUUAUAGAUGGAUCCGCGUCGCAUUAGCUAGUUGGUAAGGUAACGGCUUACCAAGGCAACGAUGCGUAGCCGACCUGAGAGGGUGAUCGGCCACACUGGAACUGAGACACGGUCCAGACUCCUACGGGAGGCAGCAGCA